Molecule: long non-coding RNA, 510 nt
Filed under: Linum usitatissimum (flax)
Lineage: Eukaryota; Viridiplantae; Streptophyta; Magnoliopsida; Malpighiales; Linaceae
Description: long non-coding RNA (LUSI_LNC006118)
Rfam family: tRNA (bases 448-510)
Source: RNAcentral
GGGGGGGAUUCUUGAGCCAUUCCCUUUCAGCUACGAACACUGUAAAAAGUUCAGAUGAAGUAACUUAUUUUGCCCAGUGUAUGUUGACUAAACAAGAGAUGAUGAUCGAUAUACUUACGCUUCCUUCUUCACAAGCAAGGAUCCACGCUAUACCAGAAAUCGCAUAUAAUUCGUCGAAAAUGAGGAAACUUUUGGCAUCAUCAAGAGCGAAAAAUCAAAGCUCGGUGAAACUGCAAUUUCUUAAACAGAUACGAAUGCAAUGCACAAUCAGCCAUUUGAUCCUCGCGCAUUUUGCCUUCUGGGUUCCAGUCUUUUGAUCGCCUGCUCCUCAACAGAGUAUCCAUCUGAAAGCAACAGCAUCUUAGCCACACUUCGAGACAGUAAGAAUUUUGCAACAAAGAUCACACCUGAGGCCAAUUUCCUUAAACAGUGAGGCUAUAAACAGAUGGAUCCGUGGCGCAAUGGUAGCGCGUCUGACUCCAGAUCAGAAGGUUGCGUGUUCGAUUCACG